This 350-nucleotide long non-coding RNA is filed under the name Mytilus galloprovincialis (Mediterranean mussel). The record is from RNAcentral. Lineage: Eukaryota; Metazoa; Mollusca; Bivalvia; Mytilida; Mytilidae.
AGCAACAGGUCCUGAUCAAAUUUUGUUUUGGUCUUAUGAUUUUGUGCAGAGUUGUGUCCUUGAACUAUAUAAAUUAUCUCAAUCUGUUUUUCUCACCUUUUUUUUGCCAUGCUGGAAGAUAUUGAUUUGAUGAUUGGUAUAUAGUUUAUUUAUAAGUUGCAAAUCUAUUUUGUCAUCCUUGGGCCACACUUAAAUAUAUUUUGGUUUGCCUAAACCCUACCCAAGGUAGAGAUUGCGGGUAGGUAGGUAGGCAUUUUCUUUUUAUUUCUUCAGCAAAGAUAAAAUGAAGUGUCAGAUGUUCUUUAGUCUUCAUGCCUUAUUAAAACAAAAAACCUUUUUCACACCAGGAC